GCAAGUCGUACGAGAACGUCUUAGCUUGCUAAGACUAGUAAAGUGGCGCACGGGUGAGUAACGCGUGGGUAAUCUACCUUCGAAUUGGGGAUAACGUUGCGAAAGCGACGCUAAUACCGAAUAACAUCCAUUUUUCUUCGGAAUUGUGGAUCAAAGAUGGCCUCUACAUGUAAGCUAUUGUUUGGAGAUGAGCCCGCGUACCAUUAGCUUGUUGGUGGGGUAACGGCCUACCAAGGCAACGAUGGUUAGCUGGUCUGAGAGGAUGAUC
Molecule: ribosomal RNA, 268 nt
Filed under: uncultured bacterium
Lineage: Bacteria
Description: partial 16S ribosomal RNA
Rfam family: Bacterial small subunit ribosomal RNA
Source: RNAcentral